This 21-nucleotide non-coding RNA is filed under the name Arabidopsis thaliana (thale cress). Lineage: Eukaryota; Viridiplantae; Streptophyta; Magnoliopsida; Brassicales; Brassicaceae. The record is from RNAcentral.
AGAGCCGAUGUGUGGAUCAAC